This 497-nucleotide ribosomal RNA is filed under the name uncultured bacterium. RNAcentral describes it as "partial 16S ribosomal RNA". It matches the Rfam family "Bacterial small subunit ribosomal RNA", at positions 28 to 507 of the family's 1533-position model. The record is from RNAcentral.
GAUGAACGCUGGCGGCGUGCCUAAUACAUGCAAGUCGAGCGAACGGACUAGAAGCUUGCUUCUCUGAUGUUAGCGGCGGACGGGUGAGUAACACGUGGAUAACCUACCUAUAAGACUGGGAUAACUUCGGGAAACCGGAGCUAAUACCGGAUGAUAUUUUGAACCGCAUGGUUCAAAAGUGAAAGACGGUCUUGCUGUCACUUAUAGAUGGAUCCGCGCUGCAUUAGCUAGUUGGUAAGGUAACGGCUUACCAAGGCAACGAUGCAUAGCCGACCUGAGAGGGUGAUCGGCAACACUGGAACUGAGACACGGUCCAGACUCCUACGGGAGGCAGCAGUAGGGAAUCUUCCGCAAUGGGCGAAAGCAUGACGGAGCAACGCCGCGUGAGUGAUGAAGGUCUUCGGAUCGUAAAACUCUGUUAUUAGGGAAGAACAUAUGUGUAAGUAACUGUGCACAUCUUGACGGUACCUAAUCAGAAAGCCACGGCUAACUACGUG